UGGGGAAUCUUGCGCAAUGGGCGAAAGCCUGACGCAGCAACGCCGCGUGUGUGAUGAAGGUCUUCGGAUCGUAAAGCACUGUCGCGAGGGACGAGAGGCCCUGGGUGAACAAUCCAGGGAUAGGACGGUACCUCGAGAGGAAGCACCGGCUAACUCUGUGCCAGCAGCCGCGGUAAUACAGAGGGUGCGAGCGUUGUUCGGAAUUAUUGGGCGUAAAGCGCUUGUAGGCGGCACGAUAAGUCUACUGUGAAAGCCCUUGGCUCAACCAAGGAAGAGCAGCAGAUACUGUCGAGCUUGAAUGCCGGAGAGGGUCGCGGAAUUCCCGGUGUAGAGGUGAAAUUCGUAGAUAUCGGGAGGAACACCAGUGGCGAAGGCGGCGACCUGGACGGACAUUGACGCUGAGACGCGAAAGCGUGGGGAGCAAACAGGAUUAGAUACCCGCGUAGUCC
This 449-nucleotide ribosomal RNA is filed under the name uncultured bacterium. RNAcentral's name for it is "bacterial SSU rRNA". It matches the Rfam family "Bacterial small subunit ribosomal RNA", at positions 355 to 796 of the family's 1533-position model. The record is from RNAcentral.